This 517-nucleotide ribosomal RNA is filed under the name filamentous bacterium J8. RNAcentral describes it as "bacterial SSU rRNA". It matches the Rfam family "Bacterial small subunit ribosomal RNA", at positions 250 to 758 of the family's 1533-position model. The record is from RNAcentral.
UGGUGGGAUAAAAGCUUACCAAGCCGACGAUCUGUAGCUGGUCUGAGAGGACGACCAGCCACACUGGGACUGAGACACGGCCCAGACUCCUACGGGAGGCAGCAGUGGGGAAUUUUGGACAAUGGGCGCAAGCCUGAUCCAGCCAUGCCGCGUGCAGGAUGAAGGCCUUCGGGUUGUAAACUGCUUUUGUACGGAACGAAAAGACUCUGGUUAAUACCUGGGGUCCAUGACGGUACCGUAAGAAUAAGCACCGGCUAACUACGUGCCAGCAGCCGCGGUAAUACGUAGGGUGCGAGCGUUAAUCGGAAUUACUGGGCGUAAAGCGUGCGCAGGGCGGUUAUAUAAGACAGAUGUGAAAUCCCCGGGCUCAACCUGGGAACUGCAUUUGUGACUGUAUAGCUAGAGUACGGCAGAGGGGGAUGGAAUUCCGCGUGUAGCAGUGAAAUGCGUAGAUAUGCGGAGGAACACCGAUGGCGAAGGCAAUCCCCUGGGCCUGUACUGACGCUCAUGCACGAAA